This 652-nucleotide ribosomal RNA is filed under the name uncultured archaeon. RNAcentral's name for it is "bacterial SSU rRNA". It matches the Rfam family "Archaeal small subunit ribosomal RNA", at positions 508 to 1160 of the family's 1478-position model. The record is from RNAcentral.
GCCUAAAGGGGCCGUAGCUAGUUCGGAAAGUCUCUGGUGAAAUCCUGCGGCCUAACCGCAGGGCGCGCCAGAGAAACUACCGAGCUUGAGGGCAGGAGAGGCAGGGGGUACUUUCGGGGUAGGGGUGAAAUCCUAUAAUCCUGAAAGGACCAACAGUGGCGAAGGCGCCCUGCAUGAAUGCGCCUGACAGUGAGGGACGAGAGCCAAGAGCGCGAAACGGAUUAGAUACCCGUGUAGUCUUGGCCGUAAACGAUGCUGACUAGGCGGGGUGCAGUCUUAGGGACUGCGCCAUGCCGAAGGGAAGCCGUUAAGUCAGCCGCCUGGGGAGUACGGCCGCAAGGCUGAAACUUAAAGGAAUUGGCGGGGGAGCACUACAAGGGGUGGAAGCUGCGGUUUAAUUAGAUUCAACGCUGGACAUCUCACCGGAGGCGACAGCAGGAUGAAGGCCAGACUGAAGGUCUUGCCGAACACGCUGAGAGGAGGUGCAUGGCCGUCGUCAGCUCGUGCUGUAAAGUGUUAGGUUAAGUCCUAAAACGAGCGAGACCCACACCCUUAUUUGCAACCAGUUCUUCCGAGGGCUGGGCACAAUAAGGGGACUGCCUGCUAUAAGUAGGAGGAAGGAGUGGACAACGAUAGGUACGCAUGCCCCGAA